Molecule: transfer RNA, 57 nt
Filed under: Ovis aries (sheep)
Lineage: Eukaryota; Metazoa; Chordata; Mammalia; Artiodactyla; Bovidae
Rfam family: tRNA
About the family: Transfer RNA (tRNA) molecules are approximately 80 nucleotides in length.
Source: Rfam by way of RNAcentral
UGGCUCAGCUGGUAAAGCAUCUGCCUGUAAUGCAGGAGGCCUGGGUUUGAUCCCCUG